This 689-nucleotide ribosomal RNA is filed under the name uncultured archaeon. RNAcentral's name for it is "bacterial SSU rRNA". It matches the Rfam family "Archaeal small subunit ribosomal RNA", at positions 182 to 868 of the family's 1478-position model. The record is from RNAcentral.
GUUUACGUUAUGCUCGUAGGCGUCGCCCAAGGAUGAGGCCGCGACCGAUCAGGUUGUUGGUGAGGUAAUGGCUCACCAAGCCUUUUACCGGUGCGGGCCGUGAGAGCGGGAGCCCGGAGAUGGGCACUGAGACAAGGGCCCAGGCCCUACGGGGCGCAGCAGUCGCGAAAACUUUGCAAUACACGAAAGUGUGACAGGGCUAUCCCGAGUGCCAUCCGCUGAGGAAGGCUUUUACCCAGUCUAGAACGCUGGGGGAAUAAGGAGAGGGCAAGUCUGGUGUCAGCCGCCGCGGUAAUACCAGCUCUCCGAGUGGUGUGGAUGUUUAUUGGGCCUAAAGCAUCCGUAGCUGGCUGAGUUAGUCCCUUGUUAAAUCCACCGAAUUAAUCGUUGGAUUGCGGGGGAUACUGCUCGGCUAGGGGACGAGAGAGGCAGACGGUAUUUCUGGGGUAGGGGUGAAAUCCUAUAAUCCCAGGAGGACCACCAGUGGCGAAGGCUGUCUGCUAGAACGCGCCCGACGGUGAGGGAUGAAAGCUGGGGGAGCGAACCGGAUUAGAUACCCGGGUAGUCCCAGCUGUAAACGAUGCAGACUAGGUGUUUGGACGGCCACGUGCCGUUCUAGUGCCGCAGGGAAGCUGUUAAGUCUGCCGCCUGGGGAGUACGAUCGCAAGAUUGAAACUUAAAGGAAUUGG